UCGAUAACGAACGAGACCUCGACCUGCUAAAUAGUGUAGCGAAUUCUUCGGGAUUCGUGUAGACUUCUUAGAGGGACUUUAGAUGAGUAGUCUAAGGGUCUGUGAUGCCCUUAGAUGUUCUGGGCCGCACGCGCGCUACACUGACUGGUUCAUCGAGCUUACAACCUUGACCGAUAGGUCUGGGUAAUCUUUUGAAAGCCAGUCGUGCUUAGAUCAUUGCAAUUAUUGAUCUUCAACGAGGAAUUCCUAGUAAACGCGAGUCAUCAACUCGCAUUGAUUACGUCCCUGCCCUUUGUACACACCGCCCGUCGCUACUACCGAUUGAAUGGCU
This 331-nucleotide ribosomal RNA is filed under the name uncultured eukaryote. RNAcentral's name for it is "SSU rRNA". It matches the Rfam family "Eukaryotic small subunit ribosomal RNA", at positions 1325 to 1698 of the family's 1831-position model. The record is from RNAcentral.